This 468-nucleotide ribosomal RNA is filed under the name uncultured bacterium. Its description in RNAcentral is "bacterial SSU rRNA". It matches the Rfam family "Bacterial small subunit ribosomal RNA", at positions 26 to 518 of the family's 1533-position model. The record is from RNAcentral.
AGGAUUAACGCUGGCGGCGUGCCUGACACAUGCAAGUCGAACGAAAUAUCUUCGGAUAUUUAGUGGCGAACGGGUGAGUAAUGUACAGGUAAUGUACCUUCGUACUGCGAAUAACAAGCUGAAAAGUUUGCUAAUACGGAAUAGUUUCAUUAGGGGGCAUCCUUUGAUGAAUAAAGAUUUAUCGUGCGGAGAUCAGCCUGUAUCCUAUUAGUUAGUUGGUGGGGUAAUGGCCUACCAAGACGACGAUGGGUAACUGGUCUGAGAGGAUGAGCAGUCACAUUGGAACUGAGAUACGGUCCAAACUCCUACGGGAGGCAGCAGUGAGGAAUUUUGCGCAAUGGGGGAAACCCUGACGCAGCAACGCCGCGUGAGUGAAGACGGCCUUCGGGUUGUAAAGCUCUGUCGUGUGUGACGAGUAGGGACGGUAACACACAAGGAAGCCUCGGCUAACUACGUGCCAGCCGCGGC